GUGACAAACCGGAGGAAGGUGGGGAUGACGUCAAAUCAUCAUGCCCCUUAUGAUUUGGGCUACACACGUGCUACAAUGGACAAUACAAAGGGCAGCGAAACCGCGAGGUCAAGCAAAUCCCAUAAAGUUGUUCUCAGUUCGGAUUGUAGUCUGCAACUCGACUAUAUGAAGCUGGAAUCGCUAGUAAUCGUAGAUCAGCAUGCUACGGUGAAUACGUUCCCGGGUCUUGUACACACCGCCCGUCACACCACGAGAGUUUGUAACACCCGAAGCCGGUGGAGUAACCAUUUGGAGCUAGCYGUCGAAGGUGGGACAAAUGAUUGGGGUGAAGUCGUAACAAGGUAGCCGUAUCGGAAGGUGCGGCUGGAUCACCUCCUUUCUAAGGA
RNAcentral lists this ribosomal RNA (386 nucleotides) under Staphylococcus epidermidis. RNAcentral describes it as "bacterial SSU rRNA". The record is from RNAcentral. Lineage: Bacteria; Bacillati; Bacillota; Bacilli; Caryophanales; Staphylococcaceae.